Molecule: ribosomal RNA, 465 nt
Filed under: uncultured bacterium
Lineage: Bacteria
Description: partial 16S ribosomal RNA
Rfam family: Bacterial small subunit ribosomal RNA
Source: RNAcentral
GACGAACGCUGGCGGCGUGCUUAACACGUGCAAGUCGAACGGAAAGGCCCUGCUUGCAGGGUACUCGAGUGGCGAACGGGUGAGUAACACGUGGGUGAUCUGCCCUGCACUUCGGGAUAAGCCUGGGAAACUGGGUCUAAUACCGGAUAGGAGCCAUUUUUAGUGUGAUGGUUGGAAAGUUUUUUCGGUGUAGGAUGAGCUCGCGGCCUAUCAGCUUGUUGGUGGGGUAAUGGCCUACCAAGGCGGCGACGGGUAGCCGGCCUGAGAGGGUGGACGGCCACAUUGGGACUGAGGUACGGCCCAGACUCCUACGGGAGGCAGCAGUGGGGAAUAUUGCACAAUGGGCGCAAGCCUGAUGCAGCGACGCCGCGUGGGGGAUGACGGCCUUCGGGUUGGAAACUCCUUUCGCUAGGGACGAAGCUUUUUGUGACGGUACCUAGAUAAGAAGCACCGGCUAACUACGUG